UGACCUGCCCAAGAGACUGGGAUAACACCUGGAAACAGAUGCUAAUACCGGAUAACAACACUAGACGCAUGUCUAGAGUUUAAAAGAUGGUUCUGCUAUCACUCUUGGAUGGACCUGCGGUGCAUUAGCUAGUUGGUAAGGUAACGGCUUACCAAGGCAAUGAUGCAUAGCCGAGUUGAGAGACUGAUCGGCCACAUUGGGACUGAGACACGGCCCAAACUCCUACGGAAGGCAGCAG
Molecule: ribosomal RNA, 238 nt
Filed under: uncultured bacterium
Lineage: Bacteria
Description: partial 16S ribosomal RNA
Rfam family: Bacterial small subunit ribosomal RNA
Source: RNAcentral